RNAcentral lists this unclassified non-coding RNA (230 nucleotides) under Hevea brasiliensis (rubber tree). The record is from RNAcentral. Lineage: Eukaryota; Viridiplantae; Streptophyta; Magnoliopsida; Malpighiales; Euphorbiaceae.
UUUGUUGCUGCAAUUACAAUAAUCCCUUCAUUUUGCUUAAAGCCAUCCAAUUCAACAAGUAAUUGAUUCAAAGUCAUCUUCAUGUAUUGCUGAUCCUUAGGGUUACGGCUUCCCCCUAUAGCAUCUAUCUCAUCGAUAAAUAUUAUACAAGGAGAACGUUUCUUAGCAGCAGAAAAAAGAUCCCUCACUCUCCGGGCUCCAACUCCAACAAACAUCUCCUCAAACUCACU